GUAUCCAGCAUCAACAACUAAGAAUCUGCUAAGCAGCAAAUGGGUUGUUUUUGUGGCUAGAAUUGUGUUUGCUUGAGGUGAAGGAAGGAUGGCUGAAUAAAGGAGACAUAACUUGGCCUGGAGCUUUCUAUUUCUGCCUUGCAGUUCCAAUGUCUCCGGUUGCAAUGCAUGUACUGUGGUUUCCACUUCAGCUACUUAUCUAAAGCUGAGUCCUAAUCCUGUCCAAGCUGAUGGCAGAGCUCCCGCUGGCAAUGGGAGGAGCAGGCUGGAUCAGCGGAGACUGUUUUGGGAGUUCUGUUGUGGAACAUGAGUUAUAUUUAUGUUUUGUUUGUUCUGCCCAUCAGGGUCUUCAGACUGGUGUUUCUGCACCCUUUCCAGGCCAUGGUACCAGAAUUACAGAUCCUGGGCAUUAGUGAACUCCCAUGGAAGGAUUUUUCUGUCAGAAGAUGCCUGUAGCCUGGUGAUGACAACUCACUCCUGCUCUUCUCCUACCUGACAAGGAAUUGAGAAGUUUUCAGAAGCUGUUUAAGUUUUGUAUCUACCAAGGAGUCUAAGCAUGAAAUGCCAGUGCACAUGGUCUUUCCAUGAAGCUCUUGCCUUUCCUGCAGGAACAGCAGCUUGGCAACAGUUCGUGUUGAUAUUGGAUGAAUCUAAGAAAUAUUGCCAAACUCAGUCAAAAGAGAGAGGAGGAGUGAAGAAGCCUAGUGAACAGUCAUCAAAGAGAAGAGUACAGCCAGACAGACCUGCAGAGGAAGUAAGGUGAUAGAGGUACAUUGCUUUAUUUCAACUAAACAUCUGUGUAUUCUCACCCUUACACGCUCUGUUACUGUGCAAGGGACUAGAAGGAUUUCUUCAAUGAUGCUCUUUACCUUUGUUCUUUAGGAUUUGAACCGAUAAAUUCUUUGAAAGCAAUUUUAACAUUUCACAUAGAAAUUUCAUACAGCCUUCUCAAUUUUAGCGAAGAGAAUUUGCUUUGCAAUGUCAGCUUUAAACUCCUAAAUUGUGUAAAGCCUCUAGAACCAUCUAUUGUUAACACAUGUAGAGCUUCCACCUGCUUAUUUCCUCAUAUUCCACAUUAGAUUUUUACCAGCCAGAUACUGUGUUAGCUCCUUUCUGUUUCCUGGGG
RNAcentral lists this long non-coding RNA (1126 nucleotides) under Anas platyrhynchos platyrhynchos (common mallard). RNAcentral describes it as "lncRNA (ENSAPLG00000023494.1)". The record is from RNAcentral. Lineage: Eukaryota; Metazoa; Chordata; Aves; Anseriformes; Anatidae.